This 380-nucleotide ribosomal RNA is filed under the name uncultured organism. RNAcentral's name for it is "bacterial SSU rRNA". It matches the Rfam family "Bacterial small subunit ribosomal RNA", at positions 367 to 762 of the family's 1533-position model. The record is from RNAcentral.
CGCAAUGGGCGAAAGCCUGACGGAGCAAUACCGCGUGAGGGAUGAAAGCCUGUGGGUUGUAAACCUCUUUUCUCAAGGAAGAAGUUUUGACGGUACUUGAGGAAUAAGCAUCGGCUAACUCUGUGCCAGCAGCCGCGGUAAUACAGAGGAUGCAAGCGUUAUCCGGAAUCACUGGGCAUAAAGCGUCUGUAGGUUGCCUACCAAGUUUGCUGUUAAAGAUCAGGGCCUAACCCUGGGAAAGCAGUGGAAACUAGUAGGCUUGAGUGUGGUAGAGGUAGAGGGAAUUCCUGGUGUAGCGGUGAAAUGCGUAGAUAUUAGGAAGAACACCAAUGGCGAAAGCCCUCUCCCGCGCCCUAACUGACCUCUGGAGACGACAUCUA